This 164-nucleotide ribosomal RNA is filed under the name uncultured bacterium. RNAcentral's name for it is "partial 16S ribosomal RNA". It matches the Rfam family "Bacterial small subunit ribosomal RNA", at positions 355 to 511 of the family's 1533-position model. The record is from RNAcentral.
UAGGGAAUCUUCCACAAUGGGCGCAAGCCUGAUGGAGCAACACCGCGUGAGUGAAGAAGGGUUUCGGCUCGUAAAGCUCUGUUGUUAAAGAAGAACACGUAUGAGAGUAACUGUUCAUACGUUGACGGUAUUUAACCAGAAAGUCACGGCUAACUACGUACCAG